This is a long non-coding RNA of Scatophagus argus, 1076 nucleotides long. RefSeq lists it as uncharacterized. The record is from RefSeq and is a predicted model, not a curated record. NCBI's taxonomy places the organism in Eukaryota, Metazoa, Chordata, Actinopteri, Scatophagidae. The transcript has 6 exons.
CAUUAGACUCCACAGCACAUCUCUGGGUGUUCAGGGGUCACGAUCCCAGCAGCAGUCAUCAGACUGCUGCCAACAACUCCAACACCAGAGCCUUUGUCCUGAUGAAGAGACAUGGACAGGUGGAAAGACAGGCUAAGGGCGAUUUCAUUGACAGCGUGAGGAUGAGACAUCACCAUGUUGAAUCCAUACUGUGGAGAAGGAGGACACAGAUGAAGAUCACGCCCAUCAUCUUCCUCAUUGACUGGGGUUUUACAGGUUGUCUCAUUGCUGUCCUGAGGGUAAACAGGGACAUGGGACAAACCUGUCAGUGAUUGGAGACUUGAUAGGACACAACGAGUCGUGAAUUCUUCAGAGUUCGACGACUUGGCAGAGUGUUGGAUCGAGUCACCAGAGUCGAACUACAAACAUACCGAGACAUCGUCAGAGAAAUGGAGGACUUUAACUUAUGCUGUGAUUAAUCCUGACCAUUUGUGGCCCCGUGAAGGAUGCAAACAUCAGAGAAGAAGAAAAGACUGGAACAACAAAAAGAACAAGGCCAGAACCAGACCAGAUUGAUCAGUGCAGACACACCUGCAGGGAUAUUUUACGGUUCAGGUCCAUCUCUGCAGGUUCACACAUAGUCCAACAUCAUCCUCAUAGAGGCCACAAUAUAGACACAAAGUUCUGAUUCUGAAUCUCAGAGAGCUCACUUUGAGUCUGCUGGUCCUCUGCACUGAUCCAGACUGAUUCAUGAUCCCUUCAGGAUGAACUGCAGUAACUCUGGUGAUCCUAUGACUUUAGUGCCACCUUCAGGUCAAGCUGUUCAUGAGUCCAACACUUUGAGCUGAUGAAGCUCAUAUCAGCCUCAGCAGCACUUUGACUUCUUUGACAAUUAGCCCAUGUUAGCCUGUUAGCACGAUGCUAACAGACCUGAAGUCCAUCAUUCAUUCAGUUUCUGUUUGACAGCCUGUAAAUCACUUAAAGUCACAUUUGUACUAUAUAACCUGUCUCUUGUCUGAGUAUGUGUGUGUCCAGUGUGUAUUGUGUGUGUGUGUGUGUGUGUGUUGUGUAUUAUUUACCAGUGCGAUGGAAAACCU